RNAcentral lists this long non-coding RNA (1080 nucleotides) under Carica papaya (papaya). RNAcentral describes it as "long non-coding RNA (CPAP_LNC008084)". Lineage: Eukaryota; Viridiplantae; Streptophyta; Magnoliopsida; Brassicales; Caricaceae. The record is from RNAcentral.
UACACACCACUCUGUUCCAAAUUUUUUUAAAAAAACUAAAGACACGGAUAAGACCCCCCCAGUCUGCAUACUGCCGAGUUCUUACGGAAAAUUUUCCUGAGAUUUGAUUUUAGGGUUUCAGUUGUUUCUGCUUCUUGGGCUCUAAAUUGUCCAUUCAGGUAAGGUUUUCGCUUCUCUCUGUGCAAGUAUGUUUUGAAUUUAGUCUUUAUUUUGCUCUGUUUGGCAGGUUGGAUAAUGUAGGAGAACAUGCGGAAAACAUGGUUCCGAAAGUCUUUAGUUUAGUAUCUUGAGGCCUUUCAAGAAAACAAAUUAUGCCUGUGAAACUUGCUUCUUGUACUUUUCUUGCUUUGUUUACUGUCUGUCUCUCCAAGUGAACAAGAGCUUUAGGAAUUGGUUUUCCCCCAAGACUUUUUCUCCCAUUUCUUGGCAACCAAACGGAGGAUUUUCUGGUUUUUUUUUUUUUUUUUUUUUCCUUCAAUACUUUUCUUUUCUUGUUUCUGUUUUUAUGUAGUGAAUAAUGUAUUUGAAAAUUCAUUUAAACCUUUUGAAUCUUUGAAGGUUCAUGUUAUGGUAAAACCCUAAUUUCGUGGUCAAAAGCUUGAGAAAUUAGGAUUUCUUGUCAGUUGUGGAUAUGAGUUUUGAGGAGGCAACAUGCAAUGGAGAUGGUAUGGAAUGCAUUCAGGGGGUACAGUUCUUGAAAAGUAAAGCAGUGGCUAGUGCAUGUGAAGUCACUGUUAUACGUAAUUCUGGGAAUGGGAGCACUAGCACAAGAGAAGGUUUUCUAACCUACAAGAGGAGGAGGUAUGCUGGGCAGAGUUUGGGGAGCAAAGUGCUAGGAUGUGGCAGAAAUUCUGUUGAAGCAGCUAGUCAAUUGGCAGGCCAGGUAUACAAAGAUGUUCUUUGCUACGUGUUUAUCAGAUUAUUUCUUGUUGGAUUUUACCGGUCAUAAAGUUAUUUGUUCACAUUUUCUUCGUAUUUCAAAAAAUUAUUUGUGAUUUUGAGCUUUUGAAGUACAAGGAUCUCUAAAAUGGUAUUGUGCAAGUUCGAACAUAAACUCAGCUUUUGUUGAACUAUAAACAC